RNAcentral lists this ribosomal RNA (450 nucleotides) under uncultured Glomus. RNAcentral's name for it is "SSU rRNA". It matches the Rfam family "Eukaryotic small subunit ribosomal RNA", at positions 569 to 1024 of the family's 1831-position model. The record is from RNAcentral. Lineage: Eukaryota; Fungi; Glomeromycota; Glomeromycetes; Glomerales; Glomeraceae.
AGCAGCCGCGGUAAUUCCAGCUCCAAUAGCGUAUAUUAAAGUUGUUGCAGUUAAAAAGCUCGUAGUUGAAUUUCGGGAUCAAUAUGCUGGUCGUGCCUUUGGUACGUACUGGUAUUAUUGGUUUCUCCUUUCUGAUGAAUCAUGAUGUCAUUAAUUUGGUGUCAUGGGGAAUCAGAACUGUUACUUUGAAAAAUUAGAGUGUUUAAAGCAGGCUUACGCUUGAAUACAUUAGCAUGGAAUAAUGAAAUAGGACGUUUAAUUCUAUUUUGUUGGUUUCUAGGAUUGACGUAAUGAUUAAUAGGGAUAGUUGGGGGCAUUAGUAUUCAAUUGUCAGAGGUGAAAUUCUUGGAUUUAUUGAAGACUAACUACUGCGAAAGCAUUUGCCAAGGAUGUUUUCAUUAAUCAAGAACGAAAGUUAGGGGAUCGAAGACGAUCAGAUACCGUCGUAGU